AUAUGAUGCAGGUAUGGGAGCACUGGACCAUGGGAACAAUUUUGGAGAUGAUGGAUCCCUCUCUUACAAGCCAUGCUCCUCGAGACCAGAUGCUCAAGUGUAUUCACAUUGGGCUACUGUGUGUUCAAGAUAACCCAGCAGAUAGACCUAUGAUGUCAACAGUGAAUGUCAUGCUUAGCAGCAGCACAGUGUCUCUUCAAUCUCCAUCCAAGCCAUCAUUUUUCAUUCCCAAAAGUGACACAGACUCAAAUAUAUACUCGGAAUCACACCCACUAACUUCCCAAUCGACUGCCUCGACCGGUAGGUCGGGAGGGAUGUCAGUUAAUGAUGUGUCAAUUACAGAGCUUGAACCAAGAUAAGGAAACCAAAUCCUUCGAAUUUAAGAUAAGAAAAUCAGUGACAACGGUAAUUGAAUUGUUACUUUUAAGAAACAAACUUCAGGGAGAAGGCCAUAAACUUGUAGGAGAAGCAUUGAAUUCUGAGUGCAUUUCUCCAUUGGCUGAGUCAAUAUUUUGGUUGGUUUUGUUUGUUCGUACAAGCCACCCUUGUUUAUUUUAUAGUUUGAAAAUUGGUUGGUUGCACAUCCAGUGACAAAAAUUUAUGUAGAAGCUAUACACACAAAAUAAAAAUUUGUUGCAAACCUUUUACUGAUGCUAAGGUGGCAUACUGCGAAUAAAUCUAGCUUUUCAAUUUCUUCAGAUAGUGGUAAGACUGAAAUUACACACGACCUCUGCAUCAACCAGGCAUGUACACAACUUAGAAAAAAAAACCUAAGACAAACAUAAAUAUAUUAUGUUAUCUUAUAACAAUUUAGGCCAAUCCCAAUAUGAGUUUCAUUCUCAUUAAACGGGGUGUCAUGUCAAUAUUAUUUAUGAUGUGGCAAGAAAUUAAUGAAAUGGUCAGAUGAUAAAACCAUGUCGACAUUGUUUUUAAUACAACUUGUAUCUUGUAUGUAUUGUCUAUGAAACAAGAAAAACAAAACAAUAAAUUGUAUGAGCUAUUUUAAUCAACUAUAUACCUUUUUGCUUAUGUGGAACUUUUGGAAAUAUAAAAAUAAUAUCUUCCAUUGAAAAUGGCAUUACAAAAAUAUAUGGUUAGUCACAUCCAAAAUAUAUACAGUCAAGACAAGCCAAGACAAAACCAUAAAGUUUUAUAUAUCUACUCCAAAACAACGUUUUGAGGAAGGACCCAACGCUUGCUUACAUCUGCCAUCGAAAAAAAGACUGAGAUGAUACCGUCAACAAAAAAAAAAGUGACAAACCAGCACCGAAUUUGCCAAAUCGAGAUAAACUACAUCAGGAUUUUCACCCUGAAUUAAUCACUAGUAUUAUGUGCCAUGUCCGAAUAAAAUGAACACAAUUGGUUGUAUCCACUAGAACCGACUUUAGCAAUUACCAACCAAUCUUUCUGACCAAAACAGAAGAUGCUACCCGCAUGGCACAAACACAUACCAAACAGUGCCCAUGUGCAGCCAUUAGGGACGAAGCGCUAGCCUCCUGGAUCCUUCUCUCCUUAGAGUAGGUAAAUAGCAGGCUAUAAACCAGCUAUAAACAUAUUAUAAAAAGAUAAAGAAAGAGAGAAAAAAGAAGCGGGCUACAGAUCUGUAGCCAGCUGCAGCACGGACUCUAAGACGUAAUAUGUGUAUGACAGAUGAACCAGAUAUUAAUAGUAUAGUAAGCAACUAUUGUAUGAAUUGACUAUUACAUUAGCUAUAGAUGAUUUGGAGCUCGUAGUGGGCUAUACUAUUAAACUUGCUCUUAAGGGCUUGUACGGGUACUCCCUCCGUUUCAGGUUAUAAGACGUUUUGACUUUGAUCAACGUCAAAUUGUUUCAAGUUUGACUAAGUUUAUAAACAAAUAUAAUAAUAUUUAUAAUACUAAAUUAGUUUCAUCAAAUCAAUAAUUGAAUAAAUUUUCAUAAUAAAUUUAUCUUGAGUUAAAAAUGUUACUAGAAAUUUGGUCAAACUUAAAGCAGUUUGACUUUGACCAAAUCAAAACGUCUUGUGACCUAAAACGGAGGAAGUACUUUUUUUUCUUCUAAAUAUAGGUCUGUUCAGUUUGAUAAUAAAAUGAACCUUUUCGGAAUUUGAUAAUGUUAAAAUUUUGGUAAAUCGGCAACAUUGCCAAGUUCUACUAGGAUGUGCUCAGUAUAGGCCCUAUUUAGUUCCUAGGGAAAAACUUUUCACCUUUAUCACAUCGAAUAUUUGGACACAUACAUAGAGUAUUAAAUAUAGACAAAAAAAAUAAAACUAAUUAUACAGAUUGCGUGUAAAUUGCGAGACGAAUCUUUUAAGCCUAAUUGUUUCAUGAUUUGACAAUGUAGUGCUACAGUAAAUUUACUAAUGACGGAUUAAUUAGGCUUAAUAAAUUCAUCUCGUAGUUCACAGGCAGAAUCUGUAAUCUGUUUUGUUAUUAGUCUACAUUUAAUACUUAAAAUAUGUAUCCGUAUAUCCGAUAUGACAUACCAAAACUUUUCCUACCACGAACUAAACAAGGCCAUAAUAUUAUCAAAAUUCUAUGGACAUUACCAAAAUUAGAUAGCAAACUACAUAUAGCUACAUAAUUAUUAAUUUUAUCAAAUAAUGAUAUAGUUUAAAAUACCAUCAAUUUAAACAAGCCUAUAAUGAUACGUAACUUUUUUGCAGGUUCGGGGGAAAAAUUAAAAAGAUGGAGCACGUUUCCCUACAUGAUAAAAUCGAUUGGUUUUCACCGUCCGCUUUUUGUACGAAUUUGGUCGCAAGUUACUAGAGUUCGGCUCUUCUGGUUCCUAUCAUCUCCUCCCUCGUUUUCCGUGCGCACGCUUCUUAAAUGUCUAAACAGUGUAUUUUUUGCAAAAAAUUUCUAUAGGAAAGUUGGUUUAAAAAAAUCAUAAUAACCCAUUUUUAAAUUUUUUUUAGCUAAUACUUAAUUAAUCGUGCACUAAUCCAUCACUCUGUUUUCCGUAUGGGAGGUAAGGGUUCCUAACCCUCACCUAAGAACAUUUUUCUCUGAGGGCCUCUUAAAAUCAAUUUGAUGCGGUAAUUUUUUUUUGUCAAAAGUUUUGAUAGCAAAAAAUUUGACAUUGCAAUUUUACAAGUUGGUGUUUAGAUGUAUGGUAAAGUAUUUUCAUUUUACCAUUAAAAACUGAUUUGUCCAUAUUAAUGGCACCUUAUUAAUUGCUGUUGUCUCUGCACUCUAGCAAUCUCUCUUGCUGCUGCUAGUGUUUGUGCCGGAGCGAAGGAGGCCCUUGUAGCUUUCCAUUCCCGGCCACCCAUCAUCGUCGGAGUUGACGUCGAGGGGGGCCAUGCCUAUCCUGAAGCACUACCGUUGUCGGAUCUAAUAAAGUGGUACGGGAAGUUGGUGAAAGGGUCUUACCCGCCGGCGGGGGAAAGUGAAUCGGCCUGCGACAUGAAGUCCCUCGUGCCGGAGCCGUCGCCGUCCAUCUCCGGCUAGGUCUUGGACUGGUGCGGCGGACGAGUUCGGCGGAGGUGGAGGCGGAUGCGGGCAUGAGUGGUGGCAGCGACGGGUGAGAUCAGCGGAGGCAGAGCCGGCAUGAGCGGCGGCGCGAGCGGAGCAAGGGUGAGAGAGCGAGCGGAUAGGGAAAUUUUUGGGAGCGGAUGAGAGAGAGAGAGCGAGUGAGGGGCAGUGCGCGUCCCGCAUGGGGCCCAACGCUUUUUUGCCAAAUUUGCUGCUCUGGACUCCCAAAUGAUAAAUGUCAAUUUGUCUACUUUUUACUACUAGUGUUUAGAUCUAUUUUGCUAAAAUAUUGUCCAAACCGACAAAAAAAAAUUACUAUUUUAGUGGAUCUAAACAGAUCCUGAAUUUUCUUUGUUUGCUGAGCUGAUGAAGAAGUCCGAGGUCAAACAAGAGACAAGUCACAUCACUUCAAUUUCUUCUUCAAUUUUGUCUCUGCAGCUUCAUCACCUUGAGAGCAGUAGGGGUCCUAUACGUCAGUCACAGCCCGCACCCGGUCAAACGAAGCGACAGUACUUAGCUUGACGGAGAGCAUCUCCGCAGUCCGCAGCCAUGGCCACCUUUGCGCGCCACCGCGUCCUCCUCUGCCGCCUCGCCGCGGCGCUCCUCCUCGCUCCGGUGGCGGCGGCCCAGCCGUGGCAGUUCUGCGGGCAGGGCGGCAACUACUCGGCGAACGGCACCUACCAGUCCAACCUCGCCGGGCUCUCCGCCACCCUCCCCAAGAACGCCUCCGCGUCCCGGACGCUCUUCGCCAAGGACAGCCUCGGCGCCGUCCCGGACAUCGUCUACGCGCUCGCGCUCUGCCGCGGCGACGUCGCCAACGCCACCGCCUGCGAGUCCUGCGUCGCCACGGCGUUCCAGGACGCGCAGCAGCUGUGCCCCUACGACAAGGACGCGUUCAUCGUCUACGACCUCUGCUACCUCGCCUUCUCCAACAGGAACAUCCUCGCCGCCGCCGCCGACGACGACGGGAGCCCCAGGUUCCUGAUGAACACGCAGAACGCGAGCGCGCCGGCGGAGGUGUUCGACGCCGCCGUCGCCACCCUCCUCAACGCCACCAGCAGCUACGCGGCGGAGAACUCGUCCAGGCGGUUCGCCACGGGGGAGGAGGCCUUCGAUGCCGCCGCCGCUACUCCGACCAUCUACGGGCUGUCCCAGUGCACGCCGGACAUGUCGCCGGACGACUGCCGGAGCUGCCUCGGGCGCAUAAUCGCGCUGAUCCCUCGGUACCUCAGCCGGAGGAAGGGCGGGAGGGCUAUCGGGAUGCGCUGCAAUUUCAGGUACGAGGUGGGUCCUUUCUUCGCCGGAGGCUCGAUGCUGCGGCUCCCGGCGCCGGCGAACUCGACGCCGACGGCGCCAACCGGAGGUGUGUUGCAGACAAAGGGGAUCCACUUCUUUUGCAGUAAUUUAUCUUGGUAUUUAAUUAGCGCGACAACAUCUGCUCAUAAUUAAUUUUCCAUCAAUUUUGACAAAAUGAAGACAACCAAACGACUAUUGAAGAAGAAAACUCUAAACAAACUUGUACUAUGUCUUCAAAUUGUUUCUGCUGUUUAGGUAAAAAAUGUUACCGCGUUAAGAAUUGUGGUUUGCUUUGCAGUACUGUUGAAUUGCAAAAAUAACAAAAUAAAAAUGUGGGGAAAUAUAAAAAUAUCUCAAUCAUGGCAACUGGUUGCAUGGGGAUUACUGGUCAAAGGAGCCUGGUACGCUGGUAGCUAUCACAUAUUAUAACCCUGUACACUUUUCUUCCUUUUUUGGGUUGAUCUUGACAUUUCUUUAGUCCUGUUUCUAUCGGAUUCUUGACCAGAAACGGCGAAAAGCACGUCUUACUCAACAUUUCCAACUGCAAUGCAUUUAUUUACCAAUAAAUAAUACUAGUAUGAUGUUUUCAGGAAUACUUUUAGAAGUACUUUUCCUUAUCACUUGAUCACGUCUCCGUCACUUUCCAUAAAUUUCCCCACAAUCUUUCAUAUUUUUAUUUGUAUUCAAUUAUCCUGGUUGUCUACUUUGCCGAGAUUUGUGGAUACCACCAGUAAUAAUAAAAAGAAUUGUAGAUCUGAUCACUCCAGCGCCAGAGCUAGGUGAAUAUGGUUUCAUCUUCUCGUGUCUUUUCCAAUUGAGCCUGAUUACUUGGUCAGUUCACACAUUUAUUCCAAUGUAGUGUUGGUAAUUAACUGCACUUCCAUUAUGCAACUUGUAUGUAUGUGCUUUACAUGUAAAGUUCAACAAUGAUUUUGGUUUCCUCCAUGUUUUCCCGUUUAAUUAGGAAAAGACACGAGAAGAUGAAACCAUAUUCUAAAAUACCUUUUUUAACAGUAAAAAAUAGUCGUUUAUAAUAUAUUGAAAAUUGCUUGACUUUACUAGCUUUGCGGUGUGCUGUAUAGGUCAAAGUGUUGACCUGCACUAAAUAAGUUUCUGGUGUGACUUCGUAGCAUGUACCUUUUUGAACAGAAACCUUAAUUAUAGUGGAUAUGUGUCAUCAUAUUUAGGUUAUGAAUUAGUCUUGUUAAGUUCUAUACUUCUAUAUGUCUGUCUUCGCAACAAAAACAAGUUUUAUCUGUCUGAAGCUGAAAUCACUUGCCUGCAGGAAGAAAGAAAAAUAAAAGUGGCACAGCUCUAGCCAUUGCAUUGCCCCUAGUUGUUAUAUUGUUGGCUACGGUUGUCAUUUGUCUUUCUGUUCAGAGGUGGAGAAAAAGAUCAAGGUCAAAACAGCAAUCUUCAUGUAAGUUCACCAACAAUUUUGAUUAUAGUGAGAGGGAAACAGUGAUUCCCUUUGAUUAUUUGAAUUCUUUUAUUCCCUAGAAAUGAAAAAAGGGUUUCAUAGUUGGAAAUGUCGACGUUAUAUUUCAGGAAAAGUUAAUAUUUCAGUUACAUUGCAUCAUAAUGUUGUUGCCCUCUUUUGAUAGAUUCAAUUCAAAUGGCGGAGGACAUUGAAAGCACGGAUUCACUUUUUAUCGAUCUAUCAACACUGCGUGCUGCAACGGGUAACUUUUCUGAGAGCAAUAGGAUUGGUGAAGGAGGAUUUGGUUCAGUUUAUAAGGUGCCAAUGCAAUCAUAUAUAUCAUUCACUUUAUAUAGUGCAUAACUAUGUACAGCUUCAAUAAGCGAGUGCUUGCACUUAUGCAGGGCGUCCUUCCUAGUGGUGAAGAGAUAGCUGUAAAGAGGCUCUCUAUGAGUUCAGGACAAGGAAUAGAAGAGCUAAAAAAUGAGCUUGUUUUGGUUGCUAAACUUCAGCAGAAGAAUCUUGUUAGGCUUGUUGGUGUCUGCUUGCAAGAACAUGAGAAAUUGCUUGUGUAUGAAUACAUGCCCAAUAGAAGUAUCGACACCAUUCUAUUUGGUACUAUUCUCAGAAUUCAACAAUUGCACAAGCACUACUAGAUCUGAACUGUACAUUUCCUUUCCAAAAUGUGUUUCUUUACACCCCCCCCCCCCAACCUUCUUGAAUCAGGUCUUCAACCCAAGCCAAACACUUGGAAUUCACAUGCCCUUGUCAUCAUGAAUAUAUAUUAGUGGUAAAACUGUAGUUUACUAAGACAUUUCUUGUUCAAUUGACAGAUCUUGAGAAAAGGAAGGAGUUAGACUGGGGAAAAAGAUUUAGGAUAAUAAAUGGAAUUGCUCGCGCAUUACAGUAUCUUCAUGAAGAUUCUCAACUGAGAAUAAUUCACCGAGACCUCAAAGCAAGCAAUGUUUUAUUAGACUCCGAUUAUAACCCUAAGAUUUCAGACUUUGGCUUGGCAAGACUAUUUGAGGGUGAUCAAACAAGGGAAGUCACAAGCCGUGUGGUAGGAACAUAGUAAGUAUUGUCUAAACUAACCCAAUCAGAUACAAAUAGUAUGCUGGCAUGAGUAACUUUAUUCUCUUACUGCAGUGGAUAUAUGGCACCAGAGUACGCGAUGCGUGGCCACUAUUCUGUAAAAUCAGACGUCUUUAGCUUUGGCAUAUUGAUGAUAGAAAUUGUGACAGGAAGAAGAAGCAGUGGUUCAUAUAGCUUUGAUCAAUCAUAUGAUCUCCUAAGCCGUGUAAGUCCUUUUUCCUGGACUAUUCUACAAAGCUAAUCAGAAUGAUCUCCUAACUUGUUACAAAAAUUCUGAAUCAUCUUUGCCAAUAUGAUGCAGGUAUGGGAGCACUGGACCAUGGGAACAAUUUUGGAGAUGAUGGAUCCCUCUCUUACAAGCCAUGCUCCUCGAGACCAGAUGCUCAAGUGUAUUCACAUUGGGCUACUGUGUGUUCAAGAUAACCCAGCAGAUCGACCUAUGAUGUCAACAGUGAAUAUCAUGCUUAGCAGCAACACAGUGUCUCUUCAAUCCCCAUCCAAGCCAUCAUUUUUCAUUCCCAAGAGUG
RNAcentral lists this long non-coding RNA (7790 nucleotides) under Oryza sativa (Asian cultivated rice). Its description in RNAcentral is "long non-coding RNA (OSAT_LNC001368)". Lineage: Eukaryota; Viridiplantae; Streptophyta; Magnoliopsida; Poales; Poaceae. The record is from RNAcentral.